CCAGACUCCUACGGGAGGCAGCAGUGGGGAAUAUUGCACAAUGGGGGAAACCCUGAUGCAGCAACGCCGCGUGAGUGAAGAAGUCAUUCGUGAUGUAAAGCUCUAUCAGCAGGGAAGAAAAUGACGGUACCUGACUAAGAAGCCCCGGCUAACUACGUGCCAGCAGCCGCGGUAAUACGGAGGAUGCGAGCGUUAUCCGGAUUUAUUGGGUUUAAAGGGUGCGCAGGCGGAUUUUUAAGUCAGCGGUCAAAUCGUGGGGCUCAACCCCAUCCAGCCGUUGAAACUGGGGAUCUAGAGUGUGCGAGAGGUAUGCGGAAUGCGUGGUGUAGCGGUGAAAUGCAUAGAUAUCACGCAGAACUCCGAUUGCGAAGGCAGCAUACCGGCGCCCGACUGACGCUGAGGCACGAAAGCGUGGGUAUCGAACAGGAUUAGAUACCCCCGUAC
Molecule: ribosomal RNA, 444 nt
Filed under: uncultured bacterium
Lineage: Bacteria
Description: bacterial SSU rRNA
Rfam family: Bacterial small subunit ribosomal RNA
Source: RNAcentral